This 425-nucleotide ribosomal RNA is filed under the name uncultured bacterium. Its description in RNAcentral is "partial 16S ribosomal RNA". It matches the Rfam family "Bacterial small subunit ribosomal RNA", at positions 354 to 796 of the family's 1533-position model. The record is from RNAcentral.
GUGGGGAAUAUUGGACAAUGGGCGCAAGCCUGAUCCAGCCAUGCCGCGUGAGUGAUGAAGGCCUUAGGGUUGUAAAGCUCUUUCAGUGGGGACGAUAAUGACGGUACCCACAGAAGAAGCCCCGGCUAACUUCGUGCCAGCAGCCGCGGUAAUACGAAGGGGGCUAGCGUUGUUCGGAUUUACUGGGCGUAAAGCGCACGUAGGCGGAUUGGUCAGUUAGAGGUGAAAUCCCGAAGCUCAACUUCGGAACUGCCUUUAAUACUGCCAGUCUCGAGUCCGGAAGAGGUGAGUGGAACUCCUAGUGUAGAGGUGGAAUUCGUAGAUAUUAGGAAGAACACCAGUGGCGAAGGCGGCUCACUGGUCCGGUACUGACGCUGAGGUGCGAAAGCGUGGGGAGCAAACAGGAUUAGAAACCCUGGUAGUCC